This 141-nucleotide microRNA precursor is filed under the name Physcomitrium patens. RNAcentral describes it as "Physcomitrella patens miR902g stem-loop (ppt-MIR902g)". Its record names the gene ppt-MIR902g. Lineage: Eukaryota; Viridiplantae; Streptophyta; Bryopsida; Funariales; Funariaceae. The record is from miRBase by way of RNAcentral.
GGUAGCAGGUUUGUUCAUUUUCUUCCGCUAGUCUAUGAUGCAGAUUCUUCAUCUGUUUAGCUGAAUCUGCGUCAGUGUUUCAGUGUUACAGACGAAGGUCUGCAUCAUAGUCAAGAGGAAUGAAAAUACAUUAUAGAUUAU